RNAcentral lists this ribosomal RNA (253 nucleotides) under uncultured bacterium. RNAcentral's name for it is "partial 16S ribosomal RNA". It matches the Rfam family "Bacterial small subunit ribosomal RNA", at positions 524 to 776 of the family's 1533-position model. The record is from RNAcentral.
UACGAAGGACCCGAGCGUUAUCUGGAUUCAUUGGGUUUAAAGGGUGCGUAGGCGGAAUGAUAAGUCAGUGGUGAAAUCCUGCAGCUUAACUGCAGAACUGCCAUUGAUACUGUUGUUCUUGAAUACAACUGAUGUGGGCGGAAUGUGCCAUGUAGUGGUGAAAUACUUAGAUAUGGCACAGAACACCGAUUGCGAAGGCAGCUCACAAAAUUGUUAUUGACGCUGAUGCACGAAAGCGUGGGGAUCAAACAGG